UCCUCGAGAGAAGAUCACCAAGAAUAAGAUUCUCACUUAUUAAAUAUGUAUAGAUUAUAGCAGUGUACACCUCUAUCUUUUUUUUGAACUUGGUAACUUUGUAUUAUAUCACAAAACAAUCCAUGGGUUGUAUUGUAAUCUUAUAUACAAGUGUACUCCUGAUUUCACUUCUCUAUGUCUAAAUUGAGUCUAGCACAUCAA
RNAcentral lists this long non-coding RNA (201 nucleotides) under Solanum tuberosum (potato). Its description in RNAcentral is "long non-coding RNA (STUB_LNC010660)". The record is from RNAcentral. Lineage: Eukaryota; Viridiplantae; Streptophyta; Magnoliopsida; Solanales; Solanaceae.